RNAcentral lists this unclassified non-coding RNA (5002 nucleotides) under Pomacea canaliculata. RNAcentral's name for it is "polyamine-modulated factor 1-binding protein 1-like, transcript variant X1". Lineage: Eukaryota; Metazoa; Mollusca; Gastropoda; Architaenioglossa; Ampullariidae. The record is from RNAcentral.
AAUGCGUACAAUGAUGUCAGUGGCAAAAGUACACGACACUAAAAAUAGACACAGUGGCGUGUCGUCUGCUUGUGACACACCGCCCACCUCCCCCUCUCCUUCUCCGCGUCACACGCCAGGGAAAUCCUUGUGGCAGUGCUCAAGUAUAAAAGGGCUGAGUGCUACACGAGCCCAUACUUUCUUUUCGAGAUUGUCAGUGUAACAUAUCGGUGUAGCGUCCUAGUGGGACAGAACAUUUCGCGCCGUGGAUUCUAAUAAACUGGAUCACAACACACAAUGAAAACGCUGACUGACAAGUCCAUAGAUGAUAAACAAGUAACUGGCUCAGGAAAGUAUGUGUUUGUAGACCCACCAUCAACAAUGGAGGAAGAGCUAACUGGAUAUAAAGAGAAAGUAGAGAAUAUGAAACUUCUUCUGAAGCACUAUCAGGCUCAGCUAGAAUCUCAUAAAGUGCGCCGUGAUGGUGUAGAAACAGUCUCCAGGCUCCUGGCUGAGGCUCGACAGGAAAAUUUGACUUUAAAGAAAAACCAGGUCGCUUUGGAGACAACAAUCAAGAAUUUGCAGAAUAGACUUGUGGUGAAUGGAAUUUCGAAUGCAGCUACAGAGGAUGAUGAAGUUAUUGUGCCAAGUAUGUCCAAACAGACUUUCAACAAUCUAGCUCUUGAGAAUGCUCGACUAAGGAGCAUACUACACAAAGAGGGCAGUGAAAAUCUAGACAGUAUACAGAAAGUCAAAGAGGAAACGGAAGCAGAAAAGACAAUUGAGAAACUUAGGAUAGAAAAUACUAGCAUGAAGAUGAAGCUUUCAGAUCUAGAGACACUUUUCAAAUCUUCCAACAAUGAUAAGGACAAGCGUCUCAUUGCCUACCUGGAAGAAAUCAGACAGCUCAAGGCUCUAGAACAUGGUGGUACAGGGGAGCUGACAAAGUCACGACAGACUUUGGCAGCUUUGCCAACGCUUCGGGAGCAGUUGCGUGCAUUUGCACGACAUUGUCAAGACUUAGAGGGAGAGUUGGAAAAAAUGGAGGAGAUUCCAAAAGAAGUUGUCACUGUCAGCCGCCACAAUUCUGAGCGAAGGGACAGUACAGAUGGUGCUGAGAUCAGUCAACUACUAGAAGAGAAGAAGAAACUGGUGGAGAAAGUAGAAGAGGUCUCAGAAAUGAACCGACGAUGGCAGAAAUACUAUGAGGAACGGGAAAAAUAUACACAGAGCCUGGAGUUUAGGAUCCAGGAUCUGGAAAAGAGCUACAGUGAUGCUCUACGGGGAGGGGUCACAGAAGAACUUAAUAGACAAAUGGAGCAGUUGGUGACAGCAUCACGUGAGAAACUGGAACAAGUAGACGACCUCCGCCGAAAGGCUGAAAAUGAAGCAGAACAGCUGCGCCGUGUCUUAGGGGCCAAAGAAGCUGAGAUUGUGCAGCUCCAAGACCAGGUGACUAUUCUCUCCAUGUCGUCUCCACACAACCCAGCAGCAGACACCAGUACCAUUGAGUUGCUGAAGGCACAGAUACAAGUGUGCACAGAGGAUUUUGAAAAGGAAAGACAGGACCGACAGUUUGCAUUGCAAAAGGUUUCAAGUCUGCAGGAGCAGAUUUAUCGUCUUCAGAACCAGAAUGAACAUUUGCAAAGGAUUUUGCAAGGCCAUUCUUUGCCAAAUCGAACCAAUGCUCAGGAACAUGGACUUGAUUUUAACAAUCUUCAGCCUCGUGGAAGCCUUCGUAUGAACCUGGAAUACGAUGGCAGUUAUCCAAGGCACAGACCUCGGCUGCAUGGUAAACACGAUUGGUCCACACCAAUGCCGGACUUCCCUGAUUCCGAUGGGGAGACUCAUCAAGAGAACCAUGAGGCUGUCAAAGCACCAAUUUCUCUUCCAGCAGCUGCAUCUGAGCUGAUAGCACGUUCACCCAAACCUAAACAGUCUCCCCCAUCCUCCAUGCUGAUUUCUGAAGAGUCUUCUAAACAUGAAAACUUUUUGACUUGCCCAAAGUGCAACAAAGAGUUCUCUGAGGAAAGACAGUCUGAGUUGUUGGCUCACAUGGAUACUUGUUGGGAGUGACCUUCUGAACAUUUAGUUCCCAUGACUCAGUGAAUCCGCUGGAAUUUUUUUUUUUUAACACUUUGUUACACUUGGGAGUCUUCUCCUUUUCUUCUCUUUCUUUGAUGCUGUCUUAUCUGAAUGCAACAUAUUUUUUAUAAUUGUGUGUUGUGUGUAUUUUAGUGUUACAUGGUGAUCAUAUCUGUGUGUUUCUCUGUGCUGUUUGUUGUGUUAAAUUUGAAAAUUUGAGUAGGUUCUGCGUGACUGCUGCAUGUGCCAUAUUGAGCAACUGUUUGAAAACAGAAAGAACUGAGGAAUGGCACAAGUCUCAGAUCAGUUUCCAUAUUACAGGUAAUCUUGAAAAGGGCUUCUGCUCAAUGUUUGUUUUUCGUGUGCAGCUAAUGAUUUUAAAAUAGUUUCUCAUUGUGCUUUUUUUAUCCACAAAUAGUUCAAUCUUUGGAGAAGCUUCUCAAACUUAGCUUGAUAUGCUUGAGACUUCAGCACUUACAGUGUUGUCCCUAUUCAAUUUUCUGUUAUUCUUCAGUGUGAGAAGAGGCACAAGCCUGGCAUUCUUUUCGUGGUGGUGUUAGAAAUAUGUUGAGCAAAAUUAAUUCCAUCAGGCUGUCGGAUCCAGUUCUUACCCUCUUUCCACUUUUUUGGCUUUACUCUUUAGUUGUUUUUUAUUACUUUUUUUUUCAUGCAGACAAGCUUUGGGAAGCUCUCCAUUUUUGAUUCUCUAUUGGUUGCAAGGUUUGCUUCAACUGUCUGCUUUGCUUAUCAUCUAGACUAGAGCAAACUUAAUCUGUCUCCAUCUCCAAGCCAGCAUCCAUGAUUUUUAAUGCAGGUUUUGAUUGAUUAACAUCUUACAAGACAGUUUUUAGUGUAUUUAUUUAUGUCUCAGCACAUUUUCUUAAAAGAUUGUUUUAUCUUAAUUUUGACUAUUCUAGAGGCCUUUUUUGUGGAUUUUCACUGUGAAACUGAACACCACUGCUUCAAAUAGCAGCAUUCAAUGGCAUGCAUGAAUAACACUCUGCCCUCCUACUCACUAUAGAAGUAUAUGUUGGCAGAUCAGCAAUAAUCUUACUGUUAACAGCAGCACAGAAUAAGAAUCUUGCUAACACCAGUCACAUCAGUAACAUUGAAGUUACUAGUUGACUAAAAAAACCAAUGAAAUGUUAAAGUUUUAUCUGUUUUAGUCCGAAUAUUAAGAUAUAUUGAAAAGGAAAAUGAUCCAUUCUAUUGUCGGCUUUUAGUAUAAAAAAUGGUUUUACAUUUAAAAGUGGAUUAUGUGUCUGUGUGUGUACAACUAGUUGGACGGCAGAUUGUCAGUAAUGGUCACCAUCCUCAGGGAAUAUAUGUGUCUCCAUGUGUGUUUGUGGAGGGGUUGAGGGAUAUAUUAUGUGAAUGUUUAGAGAUAUGUUUUGUAUGAGUACAUUUCCUUGCUGAUAGUUGUGUUCAGUGCUACAUUUCUUUUCUGGAAGGAGCUAGUGCUCUUUCAGUUGUUUUUUUUUUUAAUUUACUGUGACAUUUUCAGCUUUUGGAGAGCCUUAAAAACAGAUUCAAUAGACAACAGAAAUUGACUUUGUUCCCUAGUCUUGUACUAGCAGCAUUAUGCAUGUGCAACACUGCACAUUCCAUAACUUAUGUUGCUCAAGACCCAUUUUGUAGACUGGUAUUGUCAGAAUAUGUCAUCAAUGUAUUAUUUUUUACUUAUAAAUUUAGAAGUCCAUUGGAAUAAAUUUUGUGAUUUUGAUGAUGAGUGGUCAGUAACAUGAUGUGCUGCAUACAGAGCUGCCUACAACUUGGCAUUUUUGGGAGACCUCUGCCUAGUACACGUAACAGCUUUGGAAGCAGAUCAUUUACUGUGCCAUCAUCUUUGCUUGGAAAGAAAAAGAACAAAACCCCCAUCUACUUUUCUCUGUUACAAUUCUGAGACCUUUAUGCGAGUCCAUUAGACUUAUUUAUUUCCCAAAAAUUCAAUCCAUUUCUGUUGUCAGCGUAAACCUGUAACCUUUUAAGGAAAAAAGCGUGAUAUGUGAGAGUCUUCAAUAAUGGGUGCAAUAUAUGUGAUGGGAUUGCUGGGGUACAAAGGAGUUUUCUCCCCUUUAUUUCCUUUCAGUUAUUUCUGCUUUGUGAUUGUUAACUGAAAAAGUCUCUGUGCCAAGUAUCAGGCCUUUUAUAAAAUUCAUUUCUACCAGUAGAUACUUAGCAUAUUGAGAACUAAUCACAUAACAACGAAACAUAUGUAGACAGUUUGAAAAGAAUUGGUCGCUUGAAGAAGUUUAAAUUUUGUAACAUUUGACAAUGUAAUUCUAGUACCUUUACUGUUGCUAUUUUUCUUAUGGUUAUAGAAGGCUUUGCCAAGCAAUUCUUUAUCACUUUGUUAAUUUUUUUUUUGAGAUUGUAGAUGUUUACAGUAUAAUUGUGUUGCAUAUUCAGGGCUUCUGCUAAGGCUAAAUUCUUUGGGGUCCCAAUGACCCCUUCUUCAGAUUUUUAAGGGGUCCCUGUUCUUCGCCGAAAUUUGAAGGGGACCCCACUGACGAAAAUUGAAGGGGCCCUCCAAACUUUUAAUGCGUACUGUACACAAUUUUUUGCGUAAGCAGAAGCCAUGAUAUAUAUACUACUGGCUAUAAAAGGCUAAUCUGGCUGCAAAUAUUGCUAUUAUACUAAAGGCCAGCAUGUGUCAUAGGGUAUAAACAUAAUACAUAGGUUGUGAUACUCAGUUGACCGAAGAUGACAUUUUCUAGGCCCAGCAUAGCUUGAUAAGUGUUUGUGGAAAAUGUUGCGUACUUUUUCACUCAAGAAUUCACUGAAAUUUUUUGGGAAAAAAAUCAUACGGAGGACUGUCUGUGAUCAAGCUGCCUUGUGUGAACUUUUCUUUCAUUGAGGUAAUGUAUGUUUUGAGCGCUUUGAUUUUUACUGUCAUGUGGAUAUCACAAAGUACAGAAUAAACAGUUCUGAUGUUGAA